GACGAACGCUGGCGGCGUGCUUAACACAUGCAAGUCGAACGGGCCUGUCUUCUUUUUUGGGGGUGGGUUGAGUGGCGAACGGGUGAGUAUCACGUGAGUAACCUGCCCUUCGGUCCUGGAUAACCGCUUGAAAGGGCGGCUAAUACGGGGUGGUCCGGUUGGUCCGCAUGGGCUGGUCGGGAUAGAUUCACUGUUUUUGGUGUUUCGGCGGGGGAUGGGCUCGCGGCCUAUCAGCUUGUUGGUGGGGUGAUGGCCUACCAAGGCGGUGACGGGUAGCCGGGCUGAGAGGGUGGGCGGCCACACUGGGACUGGGAUACGGCCCAGACUCCUGCGGGAGGCAGCAGUGGGGGGUAUUGCACAAUGGGCGGAAGCCUGAUGCAGCGACGUCGCGUGAGGGAUGGAGGCCUUCGGGUUGUGAACCUCUGUUUCCGGUGGUGAAGGCCCUGUCCGUGUGGUGGGGUUGACGGUAGCCGGGGAUGAAGCGCCGGCUAACUACGUG
RNAcentral lists this ribosomal RNA (499 nucleotides) under uncultured bacterium. Its description in RNAcentral is "partial 16S ribosomal RNA". It matches the Rfam family "Bacterial small subunit ribosomal RNA", at positions 28 to 507 of the family's 1533-position model. The record is from RNAcentral.